GACGGAGGAUGCAAGCGUUAUCCGGAUUCAUUGGGUUUAAAGGGAGCGUAGGUGGUUUUAUAAGUCAGUGGUGAAAUCUCUCAGCUUAACUGAGAAAUUGCCAUUGAUACUGUAGAACUUGAGUACAGAUGCUGUGGGCGGAAUAUGACAUGUAGUGGUGAAAUACAUAGAGAUGUCAUAGAACACCGAUUGCGAAGGCAGCUCACAAAACUGUAACUGACACUGAGGCUCGAAAGUGCGGGGAUCAAACAGG
RNAcentral lists this ribosomal RNA (253 nucleotides) under uncultured bacterium. Its description in RNAcentral is "partial 16S ribosomal RNA". It matches the Rfam family "Bacterial small subunit ribosomal RNA", at positions 524 to 776 of the family's 1533-position model. The record is from RNAcentral.